Molecule: unclassified non-coding RNA, 1486 nt
Filed under: Hevea brasiliensis (rubber tree)
Lineage: Eukaryota; Viridiplantae; Streptophyta; Magnoliopsida; Malpighiales; Euphorbiaceae
Source: RNAcentral
AAAACCAAGCAAUAGGAAUAUUAAUUAACAUGGAUGGUCGCACGCUAAAGCAAUACAAAAUCGUUACAUUGAGCACCACAUGGCCCAUCACUGUCAACAUCCCUACACACACACAGCCUCAAACAGGAAAUUGAAGAAAUAUAAAAGUGGAUAAGGUGGUACCUAUACUAUUCUUAAGAAUAGUAAUAUAUAAUAAUAAUUAACGAGAAAGGAAAGAGAAGCCGGAACCGCUCAGUUUUUCCUCUAUUAUUUGGUCCAAAUGAGCACCCAUUUCUUCAUUGAAAUAAUUUUUCCAAUCUCCAGUGAUACCUUUUCUGAAGAAUUCAGUGUUUUGAACGGUAAAUGGGGAAUCUGGGCUAUACACGCCGCUUUUGUUCGCCUUCAAGUUCCUCAAACUAUCGAAACUACACAAAUCUACGAUAUGUUGCACUACCCCUCUUCUCUCUUCCUCUGGGGUAAAGGGAUAGCCCAUGAACUCAGCGAGCUUUUUAACAUUGAAAACAGUGUCCUUCUUGAGGUCUUCGUACACCAAAAACAACACCUCCUCAGGGCUUUUCACGCUUGCUUUCCAAUACCCCAAAACAUGGUCCCAAUAGGGUCCGUUGCCUGAAAUUCCUUCACAAAAUAUUUCAAACGAAUGAUUCAAAUUGAUAUAUGCAUCCUUAUCAAUUCCUUCAGGCAACUUUCCUCUCAGAAAGUGCCACAUAGAUAUUAGCACGUCCUUAGGGUCUCUGCAUAAAUAAACAAGUUUACAACCUGAUUCUGAUAUGGAAGUUGGCAAAGAAUUAUAAGGAAUGUGCGUAGCUACUAGUGGGAUUUCUUGGUCACGAUUGCAUACGUUUCUCGCAGCAUCAAUCUCCAAAAAGGGAACACAAUCAUGUGGUGCUUUUGUGAGCAAUGGAUUUUCGAAAUCGCUAAAUCUGGAGCGGGUAACAAUGGCAUAGGCAAGAGCCUUAAGCCAAGUCGUGCCAGAUUUGGGAUAAGUACAAAGAACAAUAUCAUAAGGUUGAGGCCUAAAGUUUUCUUGAGCAGCCAACAAGCCGACUAGGUAGACUUGGAAGUACCAAAAGCCUUGGUAUUGGUAAAGAGGCUGGACAACCCAAUCAUCCCUUUGGGGAAAGCUUGACAUGAUCUCUUUGUACUUGUCCUGUUGGGUAAGUGGAGCAUCUUUUUCUCCUCCUUCCCUAGCUUCAUGGACAAGGGGAAGUGCAUUAUAGCCUCGUGCUUGUCGCAAGGGCAAGAUUUUAGAAACCCGUGGAGUUGGACUCCUUCGGGAGAUCAACAUAGGACUCGUCACUUUAGUGUUCUUUGAAAAUUGUGGAGUCCCGACAGACGUGGGAACUGCAUUUAGCAUUUUUCCAUAAACAAGAUCCAUUUGGGAAGAGGAAAGAAAGGAUGCACGAAAGGGAAUGUAGGAAGGAAGCUAGUAUGGUGAGCACUUGAGGAGUAAUAUGCUUCUCUGUUUUGUGCUUAUGGAGCUGUGGAG